Molecule: transfer RNA, 86 nt
Filed under: Peteryoungia glycinendophytica
Lineage: Bacteria; Pseudomonadati; Pseudomonadota; Alphaproteobacteria; Hyphomicrobiales; Rhizobiaceae
Description: Rhizobium sp. CL12 tRNA-Leu
Rfam family: tRNA
About the family: Transfer RNA (tRNA) molecules are approximately 80 nucleotides in length. Their secondary structure includes four short double-helical elements and three loops (D, anti-codon, and T loops).
Source: RNAcentral
GCGGACGUGGCGAAACUGGUAGACGCAAGAGACUUAAAAUCUCUCGGCCUUCGGUCAUGCGGGUUCGAUCCCCGCCGUCCGCACCA